AUUGAACGCUGGCGGCAGGCCUAACACAUGCAAGUCGAGCGGAUGAAGGGAGCUUGCUCCUGGAUUCAGCGGCGGACGGGUGAGUAAUGCCUAGGAAUCUGCCUGGUAGUGGGGGAUAACGUCCGGAAACGGGCGCUAAUACCGCAUACGUCCUGAGGGAGAAAGUGGGGGAUCUUCGGACCUCACGCUAUCAGAUGAGCCUAGGUCGGAUUAGCUAGUUGGUGGGGUAAAGGCCUACCAAGGCGACGAUCCGUAACUGGUCUGAGAGGAUGAUCAGUCACAUUGGAACUGAGACACGGCCCAGCCUCCUAGGGGGGGCAGCAGUGGGGAAUUUGGGCAAAGGGGCGAAAGCCUGAUCCAGCCAGGCCGGGGGGGGGAAGAAGGUCUUCGGAUUUUAAAGCAUUUUAAGUUGGGAGGAAGGGCAGUAAGUUAAUACCUUGCUGUUUUGGCUUUACCAACAAAAAAAGCCCCGGCUAACUUCGG
This 483-nucleotide ribosomal RNA is filed under the name uncultured bacterium. Its description in RNAcentral is "partial 16S ribosomal RNA". It matches the Rfam family "Bacterial small subunit ribosomal RNA", at positions 30 to 506 of the family's 1533-position model. The record is from RNAcentral.